RNAcentral lists this ribosomal RNA (2120 nucleotides) under Salmonella enterica subsp. enterica serovar Typhi. Its description in RNAcentral is "bacterial LSU rRNA". The stretch from base 839 to 2120 matches the Rfam family "Bacterial large subunit ribosomal RNA". Lineage: Bacteria; Pseudomonadati; Pseudomonadota; Gammaproteobacteria; Enterobacterales; Enterobacteriaceae. The record is from RNAcentral.
UUAAGCAGUAAAUUGAUGUAAAAAUCAGUGGUUGUAAAAGAAUUCGGUGGAGCGGUAGUUCAGUUGGUUAGAAUACCUGCCUGUCACGCAGGGGGUCGCGGGUUCGAGUCCCGUCCGUUCCGCCACUUAUUAAGAGCCCUGAGCAUUAGCUCAGGGCUUUUUCUUUGCCUGCGAUUUAAUUAUUGCUCAAUUCGCAAAAAUCCUCUGCAUUUCUCGCUCUUUUUCUACAAAGCGCUGAAGGUCAUAAUCCCCUCAGUUAACGAACAUAGUGAUUAAAAAGAGGAAUUCUAUGACUAUCCCUGCAUUCGGUUUAGGUACUUUUCGCCUGAAAGACGACGUGGUUAUCGCUUCUGUGAAAACGGCGCUUGAACUGGGCUACCGUGCUGUCGACACUGCGCAAAUCUAUGAUAAUGAAGCGGCUGUUGGACAGGCGAUUGCUGAGAGCGGCGUACCGCGUAAUGAGCUGUACAUCACCACCAAGAUCUGGAUUGAAAACCUUAGCAAAGACAAGCUAAUCCCAAGCCUGAAAGAGAGCCUGAAAAAACUGCGUACCGAUUAUGUCGAUCUGACGCUGAUCCACUGGCCAUCUCCGGGUGAUGCCGUGUCUGUCGAAGAAUUUAUGCAGGCAUUGCUGGAAGCUAAAAAACAAGGGCUGACUCGCGAAAUUGGCAUCUCAAACUUCACUAUUCCGUUGAUGGAAAAGGCUAUUGCCGCGGUGGGCGCAGACCAUAUCGCCACCAACCAGAUUGAGCUAUCUCCGUAUCUGCAGAAUCGUAAGGUGGUUGACUGGGCGAAAGCGCACGGUAUCCAUAUCACCUCUUACAUGACGCUGGCAUACGGUAAAGCGCUGAAAGAUGAAGUGAUUGCGCGCAUUGCGGUUAAACAUAAUGCGACCCCGGUGCAGGUUAUUCUGGCAUGGGCAAUGGGCGAAGGUUACUCGGUGAUCCCUUCAUCCACCAGGCGUGAAAACCUGGCAAGCAACCUGCUGGCGCAGGAUCUGCAUCUGGAUGCCGAAGANACACGAAAGUGGACGUAUACGGUGUGACGCCUGCCCGGUGCCGGAAGGUUAAUUGAUGGGGUCAGCGCAAGCGAAGCUCCUGAUCGAAGCCCCGGUAAACGGCGGCCGUAACUAUAACGGUCCUAAGGUAGCGAAAUUCCUUGUCGGGUAAGUUCCGACCUGCACGAAUGGCGUAAUGAUGGCCAGGCUGUCUCCACCCGAGACUCAGUGAAAUUGAACUCGCUGUGAAGAUGCAGUGUACCCGCGGCAAGACGGAAAGACCCCGUGAACCUUUACUAUAGCUUGACACUGAACAUUGAGCCUUGAUGUGUAGGAUAGGUGGGAGGCUUUGAAGUGUGGACGCCAGUCUGCAUGGAGCCGACCUUGAAAUACCACCCUUUAAUGUUUGAUGUUCUAACGUGGACCCGUGAUCCGGGUUGCGGACAGUGUCUGGUGGGUAGUUUGACUGGGGCGGUCUCCUCCUAAAGAGUAACGGAGGAGCACGAAGGUUGGCUAAUCCUGGUCGGACAUCAGGAGGUUAGUGCAAUGGCAUAAGCCAGCUUGACUGCGAGCGUGACGGCGCGAGCAGGUGCGAAAGCAGGUCAUAGUGAUCCGGUGGUUCUGAAUGGAAGGGCCAUCGCUCAACGGAUAAAAGGUACUCCGGGGAUAACAGGCUGAUACCGCCCAAGAGUUCAUAUCGACGGCGGUGUUUGGCACCUCGAUGUCGGCUCAUCACAUCCUGGGGCUGAAGUAGGUCCCAAGGGUAUGGCUGUUCGCCAUUUAAAGUGGUACGCGAGCUGGGUUUAGAACGUCGUGAGACAGUUCGGUCCCUAUCUGCCGUGGGCGCUGGAGAACUGAGGGGGGCUGCUCCUAGUACGAGAGGACCGGAGUGGACGCAUCACUGGUGUUCGGGUUGUCAUGCCAAUGGCACUGCCCGGUAGCUAAAUGCGGAAGAGAUAAGUGCUGAAAGCAUCUAAGCACGAAACUUGCCCCGAGAUGAGUUCUCCCUGAGACUUUAGGUCUCCUGAAGGAACGUUGAAGACGACGACGUUGAUAGGCCGGGUGUGUAAGCGCAGCGAUGCGUUGAGCUAACCGGUACUAAUGAACCGUGAGGCUUAACCUU